Molecule: long non-coding RNA, 377 nt
Filed under: Neodiprion pinetum (white pine sawfly)
Lineage: Eukaryota; Metazoa; Arthropoda; Insecta; Hymenoptera; Diprionidae
Description: uncharacterized LOC124220579
Source: RNAcentral
UGUCUUCCCAAACUAUCCAAGAAUGUGUCCCUAAAAUUUCAGACGCAAAUUCGAAAUAUUUUCGGAGUUACAGAAGAAAUAGUGAGCAAGCGUCGAGCAGGUAUACGAGCGGUUUUUUGAAGUUUUCAACCAGUUUUUUGAAGAGUCUGAACCAGUUUUUUGAAGAGUCUGAAGGGCAACCUAUGGACCAGGAAUCGCUGAUUAGCAUAUUAAUGCGAUGGAAAUUGCGACCUGCACCUUUCCCGCCGCACGACAAAUGCAUACUCGAGACGCCUCGGUGAAAUGCUUGUACCGGGCAUAAUAUGACAUGUAUCCUAAUGAAAAAAUUCGAGAAGACUGUUGAAAUACAGAACAAUAAACCCUGAAAGUUUCGUUUU